This 475-nucleotide ribosomal RNA is filed under the name uncultured Rhodocyclaceae bacterium. RNAcentral's name for it is "bacterial SSU rRNA". It matches the Rfam family "Bacterial small subunit ribosomal RNA", at positions 27 to 499 of the family's 1533-position model. Lineage: Bacteria; Pseudomonadati; Pseudomonadota; Betaproteobacteria; Rhodocyclales; Rhodocyclaceae. The record is from RNAcentral.
GAUUGAACGCUGGCGGCAUGCCUUACACAUGCAAGUCGAACGGCAGCGGGCCUUCGGGUGCCGGCGAGUGGCGAACGGGUGAGUAAUGCAUCGGAACGUGCCAUUGAGUGGGGGAUAACGUAGCGAAAGUUGCGCUAAUACCGCAUAUUCUGUGAGCAGGAAAGCAGGGGACCGCAAGGCCUUGCGCUCUUUGAGCGGCCGAUGUCAGAUUAGCUAGUUGGUGAGGUAAAGGCUUACCAAGGCGACGAUCUGUAGCGGGUCUGAGAGGAUGAUCCGCCACACUGGAACUGAGACACGGUCCAGACUCCUACGGGAGGCAGCAGUGGGGAAUUUUGGACAAUGGGGGCAACCCUGAUCCAGCCAUGCCGCGUGAGUGAAGAAGGCCUUCGGGUUGUAAAGCUCUUUCGGCCGGGAAGAAAUCGCAUGGGUGAAUACCCUGUGUGGAUGACGGUACCGGAACAAGAAGCACCGGCUA